CCUACGGGUGGCAGCAGUAGGGAAUCUUUCACAAUGGGCGAAAGCCUGAUGGAGCAACGCCGCGUGCAGGAUGAAGGCCUUCGGGUUGUAAACUGCUUUUAUAAGCGAGAAAUAUGAUGGUAACUUAUGAAUAAGGAUCGGCUAAAUACGUGCCAGCAGCCGCGGUCAUACGUAGGAGCCGAGCCUUUUCCGGAGUGACUGGGUGUAAAGAGUUGCGUAGGUGGUAUAAUAAGUGGCUAGGGAAAUCUGGUGGCUCAACCAUUCAGACUGUUAGCUAAACUGUUAAGCACGAGACCGUUAGGGGUAACUGGAAUUUCUAGUGUAGGAGUGAAAUCCGUAGAUAUUAGAAGGAACACCAAUAGCGAAGGCAGGUUACUGGGACGGUACUGACACUGAGGCACGAAAGCGUAGGGAGCAAACGGGAUUAGAUACCCUAGUAGUC
This 442-nucleotide ribosomal RNA is filed under the name uncultured bacterium. RNAcentral's name for it is "partial 16S ribosomal RNA". It matches the Rfam family "Bacterial small subunit ribosomal RNA", at positions 338 to 795 of the family's 1533-position model. The record is from RNAcentral.